This 254-nucleotide ribosomal RNA is filed under the name uncultured bacterium. Its description in RNAcentral is "partial 16S ribosomal RNA". It matches the Rfam family "Bacterial small subunit ribosomal RNA", at positions 524 to 776 of the family's 1533-position model. The record is from RNAcentral.
UACGUAGGGGGCAGGCGUUGUCCGGAUUUAUUGGGCGUAAAGAGCUCGUAGGCGGUUCGGUAAGUCGGGUGUGAAACCUCCAGGCUCAACCUGGAGUCGCCACUCGAUACUGCUGUGACUAGAGUCCGGUAGGGGAGCGUGGAAUUCCUGGUGUAGCGGUGAAAUGCGCAGAUAUCAGGAGGAACACCAGCGGCGAAGGCGGCGCUCUGGGCCGGAACUGACGCUGAGGAGCGAAAGCGUGGGUAGCAAACAGG